AACGCACAUUGCGCUCCUUGGUAUUCCGGGGGGCAUGCCUGUUCGAGCGUCAUUAUAACCCUCAAGCCUAGCUUGGUGUUGGAGCGUGCUAUCUAGCAGCUCUUAAAAUCAGUGGCAGUGCCUUCCGGCUCUAAGCGUAGUAAUUCUUCUCGCUAUGGAAACCGGUUGGUCCGCGCCAGAACCCCCAAUUUUCUAUGGUUGACCUCGGAUCAGGUAGGGAUACCCGCUGAACUUAA
Molecule: unclassified non-coding RNA, 236 nt
Filed under: uncultured fungus
Lineage: Eukaryota; Fungi
Description: sequence contains ITS2
Source: RNAcentral